This 195-nucleotide ribosomal RNA is filed under the name uncultured bacterium. RNAcentral's name for it is "partial 16S ribosomal RNA". It matches the Rfam family "Bacterial small subunit ribosomal RNA", at positions 328 to 537 of the family's 1533-position model. The record is from RNAcentral.
ACGCUCGACACCUACGGGGGGCAGCAGUGGGGGAAUAUUGCACAAUGGGGGAAACCCUGAUGCAGCGACGCCGCGUGGAGGAAGAAGGUCUUCGGAUUGUAAACUCCUGUUGUUGGGGAAAAGAGGAUGGUACCCAACAAGGAAGUGACGGCUAACUACGUGCCANNACGCGGACGUAUNGNGGCGGNGUGAGAG